This 662-nucleotide ribosomal RNA is filed under the name Brucella abortus. Its description in RNAcentral is "bacterial SSU rRNA". It matches the Rfam family "Bacterial small subunit ribosomal RNA", at positions 1 to 709 of the family's 1533-position model. The record is from RNAcentral. Lineage: Bacteria; Pseudomonadati; Pseudomonadota; Alphaproteobacteria; Hyphomicrobiales; Brucellaceae.
UUCAACUUGAGAGUUUGAUCCUGGCUCAGAACGAACGCUGGCGGCAGGCUUAACACAUGCAAGUCGAGCGCCCCGCAAGGGGAGCGGCAGACGGGUGAGUAACGCGUGGGAACGUACCAUUUGCUACGGAAUAACUCAGGGAAACUUGUGCUAAUACCGUAUGUGCCCUUCGGGGGAAAGAUUUAUCGGCAAAUGAUCGGCCCGCGUUGGAUUAGCUAGUUGGUGGGGUAAAGGCUCACCAAGGCGACGAUCCAUAGCUGGUCUGAGAGGAUGAUCAGCCACACUGGGACUGAGACACGGCCCAGACUCCUACGGGAGGCAGCAGUGGGGAAUAUUGGACAAUGGGCGCAAGCCUGAUCCAGCCAUGCCGCGUGAGUGAUGAAGGCCCUAGGGUUGUAAAGCUCUUUCACCGGUGAAGAUAAUGACGGUAACCGGAGAAGAAGCCCCGGCUAACUUCGUGCCAGCAGCCGCGGUAAUACGAAGGGGGCUAGCGUUGUUCGGAUUUACUGGGCGUAAAGCGCACGUAGGCGGACUUUUAAGUCAGGGGUGAAAUCCCGGGGCUCAACCCCGGAACUGCCUUUGAUACUGGAAGUCUUGAGUAUGGUAGAGGUGAGUGGAAUUCCGAGUGUAGAGGUGAAAUUCGUAGAUAUUCGGAGGAACAC